CCUAACACAUGCAGUCGAACGAGAACGGAUUUAGUUUACUAAAAUUGUCAGCUAAGUGGCGCACGGGUGAGUAAUAUAUAGUUAACCUGCCCCAAAGAAGAGAAUAAUUGAUGGAAACGUCUUGUAACUCUCUAUAUGCCUUUAUCACAUAAGUGAGCAAGGGAAACAUUUAUGGCUUUGGGAUGGGACUGUACGGUAUCAGAUAGUUGGUGAGGUAAUGGCUCACCAAGUCAAUGACGCCUAACUGGUUUGAGAGGAUGAUCAGUCACACUGGAACUGAGACACGGUCCAGACUCCUACGGGAGGCAGCAGUGGGGAAUAUUGCACAAUGGAGGAAACUCUGAUGCAGCAACGCCGCGUGGAGGAUGACACAUUUCGGUGCGUAAACUCCUUUUAUAUGAGAAGAUAAUGACGGUAUCAUAUGAAUAAGCACCGGCUAACUCCGUGCCAGCAGCCGCGGUAAUACGGGGGGUGCAAGCGUUACUCGGAAUCACUGGGCGUAAAGAGCAUGUAAGCU
This 517-nucleotide ribosomal RNA is filed under the name uncultured bacterium. RNAcentral's name for it is "bacterial SSU rRNA". It matches the Rfam family "Bacterial small subunit ribosomal RNA", at positions 47 to 577 of the family's 1533-position model. The record is from RNAcentral.